Molecule: long non-coding RNA, 531 nt
Organism: Piliocolobus tephrosceles (Ugandan red Colobus)
Lineage: Eukaryota; Metazoa; Chordata; Mammalia; Primates; Cercopithecidae
Exons: 1
Source: RefSeq, a predicted model, not a curated record
UCACAAUGGGCACAGGGGAUGAAAGGUGCCGGGGGUCCGGGUCUCGAGCAGUCCCUGCCGCCGCCAGACUCCGCGCCCUGGAGGGGGAUGGGGUGCGCGUAGACGCUCCGCGGCCCGGGUCGGACGGAGGAGCCCAGGAGCUGCCGCAGCCGCCGCGAGCCCAGAGAUCCGAGCUUCGCUGCCAGCCCAGGACACCGGGGCCCGGACGCGGGCCGAGGGGAGCCGGGCGGCGGGAGAGGAGCCCCGGAGCCCCGCUGAGCGCCCGCCGAGAGGGCGUUUUCCCCGCCCCCGGAGCCUAGCCCGCCCGGCCCGCCCAGAGCGCGGGGAGAUCACCUCCGCCCGUCACCUCCUCCCCUUGUCGCCUAGGUCCACCCAGGCCCCCUCCCCCGGGCCGCUCCCGAGCACGAAGUUGGCGGGAGCCUAUAAAAGCCGGUGCCGGCACGACCCGCCGACAAACAGUGCAGGCGCCUGAGCCGCUGCUGCUAGACCUGUGCGGAUUCCUGUCCAGCCCCGACCGCCGGCGCGAUCAUG